UGAUCCUACGGGGGGCAGCAGUGAGGAAUAUUGGUCAAUGGACGAGAGUCUGAACCAGCCAAGUAGCGUGAAGGAUGACUGCCCUAUGGGUUGUAAACUUCUUUUAUAUGGGAAUAAAAUGUUCCACGUGUGGGAUUUUGUAUGUACCAUAUGAAUAAGGAUCGGCUAACUCCGUGCCAGCAGCCGCGGUAAUACGGAGGAUCCGAGCGUUAUCCGGAUUUAUUGGGUUUAAAGGGUGCGUAGGCGGAAUAUCAAGUCAGCGGUAAAAAUUCGGGGCUCAACCCCGUCGUGCCGUUGAAACUGAU
This 305-nucleotide ribosomal RNA is filed under the name uncultured bacterium. RNAcentral's name for it is "bacterial SSU rRNA". It matches the Rfam family "Bacterial small subunit ribosomal RNA", at positions 334 to 637 of the family's 1533-position model. The record is from RNAcentral.